RNAcentral lists this long non-coding RNA (3277 nucleotides) under Salmo salar (Atlantic salmon). RNAcentral's name for it is "lncRNA (ENSSSAG00000106533.1)". The record is from RNAcentral. Lineage: Eukaryota; Metazoa; Chordata; Actinopteri; Salmoniformes; Salmonidae.
AAAAACGAAUUUAAUACAUUUUAAGAAUAGACCACGUUCAACAGACAGACAGACAGACAGACAGACAGACAGGAAGCCACCAGACCUCCAGGGCCACGUUCAGUAACCAGACAGACAGACCGUUUAGGAGUAAAUACUUUAUUAACAUUCUCCUUCAGCAACACCUCUACAGGAAAUAGAGACUCUGUUCCUGGUUCCCAUGGCUACGAGUGGUUAGUUAGUGAGACGGGCGGAGACAGACCCUCCUCUCUGCUCUGCUACAGUCUUUAAUGAGGUCCCUUUAACACAAGAGGUCCCCUGUGGUCCCGUGACCCAAACCACAGAAUACUGCUUAGCGUUAACUAUGGUGACAGGUUCUCUGAUCGUUUGGUAGAACCCGUCUCGUCUCCUCUGGGUCUCAACCUAAAAACAUUUCAAUUGUUGACUUGUGCCAAGGUCCUCCUCUGUUACCCAGAACACACUGCUUCACCCAGACAGCGUCCCAACAGUCUAAAGCAGCUCGUCUUCUCCUCCUUCUCAUCUGAAAGUGUCCUGGUCACCCUGAAAGCUAAUUCCCUCAUCAUAUAUACUCUUUAUACCCGCUUUCACUUGUCCUGUGUUUUUCCUGCGCAGACGAAGGAGGGGUGAGGAGGCGAGAGGAAGAGAAGGGAGGAAGCAUCUUCAGACUAUUGAGAUUCAGCCGGCCUGAAUUCCCUCCAUUAUUCAAACAAUUCAGUUAGCGCUCUUGACAGAUAGCAUUUAGCCAACUGUUAGCUCUAGACAAUUAGCUAACCGUUAGCUCUAGACAAUUAGCUAACCGUUAUCUCUAGACAAUUAGCUAGCUAACCGUUAGCUCUAGACAGACAGCUAGCUAACCGUUAGCUCUAGACAGACAGCUAGCUAACCGUUAGCUCUAGACAGACAGCUAGCUAACCGUUAGCUCUAGACAGAGUUAGCCAACCGUUAGCUCUAGACAGAGUUAGCCAACCGUUAGCUCUUGACAGAUAGCAUUUAGCUAACCGUUAGCUCUAGACAGAUAGCAGUUAGCUCUAGACGGACAGCUAGCUAACCGUUAGCUCUAGACAGACAGCUAGCUAACCGUUAGCUCUAGACAGACAGCUAGCUAACCGUUAGCUCUUGACAGAUAGCAUUUAGCUAACCGUUAGCUCUAGACAGAUAGCGUUUAGCUAACCGUUAGCAUUUAGCUAACCGUUAGCUUAGCGCUCCAGACUACCUAGAAUAUAAAAUAGCAUUUCUCAGACGUAUAGAAAACAUAGUGUAUCUAUAGCAACAUCAUCAAUAGAAAAACCUGCAUGGUUAGUUCCUUCAUGUUAAUAACAUGUAAUACUGGGGAAAGGUAAUGCUGUAUACUUCACUGUGUUAGGCAUCUCUCUACUCAACAUUAGGUUAUACCUUCAUCCCUCUAUGUUCACAGUUGAAGGGAUGAGAGAUGGAGGGAGGGGUAGAGGAGGGGUGGAGGGAGGGAUGGAGGAGGGAUGAAGGAGGGAUGGAGGGAGGGGUAGAGGAGGGAUGAAGGAGGGAUGGAGGGAUGGAAGGAGGGGUAGAGGAGGGGUGGAGGGAGGGAUGGAGGGGGAUGAAGGGAGGAUGAAGGAGGGAUGAAGGAGGGAUGGAGGGAUGGAAGGAGGGAGGGAGUAGGGAUAGAGGAGGGAUGGAUGGAGGGAGGGAAGGAGGGAGGGAUAGAGGAGGGAUGAAGGGGGAUGGAGGGAGGAGGGGUGAGGACGAAGGAGGGGUGAGGAGGCGAGAGGAAGAGAAGGGAGGAAGCAUCUUCAGACUAUUGAGAUUCAGCCGGCCUGAAUUCCCUCCAUUAUUCAAACAAUUCAGUUAGUGCUCUUGACAGAUAGCAUUUAGCCAACUGUUAGCUCUAGACAGACAGCUAGCUAACCGUUAGCUCUAAACAGACAGUUAGCUAACCGUUAGCCAACCGUUAGCUCCAGACAGUUAGCCAACCGUUAGCUCUAGACAGUUAGCUAACCGUUAGCUCUAGACAGACAGCUAGCUAACCGUUAGCUCUUGACAGAUAGCAUUUAGCUAACCGUUAGCUCUAGACAGAUAGCAUUUAGCUAACCGUUAGCUCUAGACAGACAGCUAGCUAACCGUUAGCUCUUGACAGAUAGCAUUUAGCUAACCGUUAGCUCUAGACAGAUAGCAUUUAGCUAACCGUUAGCUCUAGACAGACAGCUAGCUAACCGUUAGCUCUAGACAGACAGCUAGCUAACCGUUAGCUCUAGACAGACAUUUAGCUAACCGUUAGCUCUAGACAGACAGCUAGCUAACCGUUAGCAUUUAGCUAACCGUUAGCUCUAGACAGAUAGCAUUUAGCUAACCGUUAGCGCUAGACAGAUAGCAUUUAGCUAACCGUUAGCUUAGCGCUCCAGACUACCUAGAAUAUAAAAUAGCAUUUCUCAGACGUAUAGAAAACAUAGUGUAUCUAUAGCAACAUCAUCAAUAGAAAAACCUGCAUGGUUAGUUCCUUCAUGUUAAUAACAUGUAAUACUGGGGAAAGGUAAUGCUGUAUACUUCACUGUGUUAGGCAUCUCUCUACUCAACAUUAGGUUAUACCUUCAUCCCUCUAUGUUCACAGUUGAAGGGAUGAGAGAUGGAGGGAGGGGUAGAGGAGGGGUGGAGGGAGGGAUGGAGGAGGGAUGAAGGGAGGAUGAAGGAGGGAUGAAGGAGGGAUGGAGGGAGGGGGGUGAGGAUGAAGGAGGGGUGAGGAGGCGAGAGGAAGAGAAGGGAGGAAGCAUCUUCAGACUAUUGAAAUUCAGCCGGCCUGAAUUCCCUCCAUUAUUCAAACAAUUCAGUUAGCGCUCUUGACAGAUAGCAUUUAGCCAACUGUUAGCUCUAGACAGACAGUUAGCUAACCGUUAUCUCUAGACAAUUAGCUAGCUAACCGUUAGCUCUAGACAGACAGCUAGCUAACCGUUAGCUCUAGACAGACAGCUAGCUAACCGUUAGCGCUUGACAGAGUUAGCCAACCGUUAGCGCUUGACAGAGUUAGCCAACCGUUAGCGCUUGACAGAUAGCAUUUAGCUAACCGUUAGCUCUAGACGGACAGCUAGCUAACCGUUAGCUCUAGACAGACAGCUAGCUAACCGUUAGCUCUAGACAGACAGCUAGCUAACCGUUAGCUCUUGACAGAUAGCAUUUAGCUAACCGUUAGCUCUAGACAGAUAGCAUUUAGCUAACCGUUAGCAUUUAGCUAACCGUUAGCUUAGCGCUCCAGACUACCUAGAAUAUAAAAUAGCAUUUCUCAGACGUAUAGAAAACAUAGUGUAUCUAU